This 613-nucleotide ribosomal RNA is filed under the name Micrococcus luteus. RNAcentral's name for it is "bacterial LSU rRNA". It matches the Rfam family "Bacterial large subunit ribosomal RNA", at positions 1 to 647 of the family's 2925-position model. The record is from RNAcentral. Lineage: Bacteria; Bacillati; Actinomycetota; Actinomycetes; Micrococcales; Micrococcaceae.
GGGUUGUGAGGUUAAGCGACUAAGCGUACACGGUGGAUGCCCUGGCAGUCAGAGGCGAUGAAGGACGUGCUAAUCUGCGAAAAAGCGCCGGCGAGGUGAUAUGAACCCUUGACCCGGCGAUGUCCGAAUGGGGAAACCCAGUGCAAUCCGUUGCACUAUCGUUAACUGAAUACAUAGGUUAACGAGGCGAACCGGGGGGAACUGAAACAUCUAAGUACCCCGAGGAAAAGAAAUCAACCGAGAUUCCCCCCAGUAGCGGCGAGCGAACGGGGAGCAGCCCAGAGUCUGAAUCAGCUUGUGUGUUAGUGGAAGCGUCUGGAAAGUCGCACGGUACAGGGUGAAAGUCCCGUACACGAAAAUGCACAGGCUGUGAACUCGAAGAGUAGGGCGGGACACGUGGUAUCCUGUCUGAAUAUGGGGGGACCAUCCUCCAAGGCUAAAUACUCCUGACUGACCGAUAGUGAACCAGUACCGUGAGGGAAAGGCGAAAAGAACCCCGGCGAGGGGAGUGAAAMAGAACCUGAAACCGUGUACGUACAAGCAGUGGGAGCACCUUCGGGUGUGAUGCGUACCUUUUGUAUAAUGGGUCAGCGACUUAUAUUCUGUAGCAAGG